CCUACGGGGUGCAGCAGUGGGGAAUUUUCCGCAAUGGGCGAAAGCCUGACGGAGCAAUGCCGCGUGGAGGUAGAAGGCCCACGGGUCGUGAACUUCUUUUCCCGGAGAAGAAGCAAUGACGGUAUCUGGGGAAUAAGCAUCGGCUAACUCUGUACCAGCAGCCGCGGUAAUACAGAGGAUGCAAGCGUUAUCCGGAAUGAUUGGGCGUAAAGCGUCUGUAGGUGGCUUUUUAAGUCCGCCGUCAAAGCCCGGGGCUCAACCCUGGACAGGCGGUGGAAACUGCCAAGCUGGAGUACGGUAGGGGCAGAGGGAAUUUCCGGUGGAGCGGUGAAAUGCGUAGAGAUCGGAAAGAACACCAACGGCGAAAGCGCUCUGCUGGGCCGAUACUGACACUGAGAGACGAAAGCUAGGGGAGCGAAUGGGAUUAGAUACCCCUGUAGUC
This 442-nucleotide ribosomal RNA is filed under the name uncultured bacterium. Its description in RNAcentral is "bacterial SSU rRNA". It matches the Rfam family "Bacterial small subunit ribosomal RNA", at positions 338 to 795 of the family's 1533-position model. The record is from RNAcentral.